Pipistrellus kuhlii (Kuhl's pipistrelle) is the source of this 131-nucleotide small nucleolar RNA. RefSeq annotates it as small nucleolar RNA SNORA9. NCBI's taxonomy places the organism in Eukaryota, Metazoa, Chordata, Mammalia, Chiroptera, Vespertilionidae. The transcript has a single exon. The record is from RefSeq and is a predicted model, not a curated record.
CUGCAAACCUCUAGCGUGCUUGGAUCUGGGCGACCCUGUGCAUUCCUACUGAGCUUGUGAGAACAUUUUGGAACGAUUUGAGGCCUUGCCCUGCUGCAUCCGGAGCAAGGUUAUAGACAUUUCAGACAAUU